This 478-nucleotide ribosomal RNA is filed under the name uncultured bacterium. RNAcentral describes it as "partial 16S ribosomal RNA". It matches the Rfam family "Bacterial small subunit ribosomal RNA", at positions 28 to 507 of the family's 1533-position model. The record is from RNAcentral.
GACGAACGCUGGCGGCGUGCUUAACACAUGCAAGUCGAACGGGAUUUAGUAGACAGAAGCCUCGGCUAAAGAUUACUAAUGAGAGUGGCGAACGGGUGAGUAACGCGUGAGCAACCUGCCUAUGACAGUGGGAUAGCCUCGGGAAACCGGGAUUAAUACCGCAUAAAAUCGUAGAAACACAUGUUUUAACGGUCAAAGAUUUAUCGGUCAUAGAUGGGCUCGCGUCUGAUUAGCUAGUUGGUGAGAUAACAGCCCACCAAGGCGACGAUCAGUAGCCGGUAUGAGAGGAUGAACGGCCACAUUGGAACUGAGACACGGUCCAAACUCCUACGGGAGGCAGCAGUGGGGAAUAUUGCACAAUGGGGGAAACCCUGAUGCAGCGACGCCGCGUGAACGAAGAAGGUAUUCGUAUCGUAAAGUUCUGUCCUAUGGGAAGAUAAUGACAGUACCAUAGAAGAAAGCUCCGGCUAAAUACGUG